ACGUCAACACUACGUCGAAUGCGUCGGUUGUCGUCCGAUCACUGAAGUUAAACAGCGUAGAGCGAGGUACCGCACUCAGAUGGGUGACCGCCUGGGACCGCGUGUUGUUGGA
This is a non-coding RNA of Eumeta japonica, 112 nucleotides long. The record is from the annotation of a GenBank genome assembly. Lineage: Eukaryota; Metazoa; Arthropoda; Insecta; Lepidoptera; Psychidae.